Non-coding RNA from Aedes aegypti (yellow fever mosquito), 71 nucleotides. The record is from Rfam. Lineage: Eukaryota; Metazoa; Arthropoda; Insecta; Diptera; Culicidae.
GGCUCGGUAGCUUAGUUGGUAAAGCGCUCGUCUAGCAUACAAGAGUCCUGGGUUCAAUCCCAGCCGAGCAC